CCUCCUCCAGGGGCCAGGGGGUCUGGUUAUAUAGUCCCCUCAAGUGAACCUGGGCCGUCGGAUCAAACCGACAUUGAUUGAACGGUUAUCCUUGAUCCUUUAGGUCGGUGGAGCUUGGUCCGCAAAGUUGAACGUGUUUGACUACAACUCCUGGGCGGAAGCCAAAGGGGGGUGGGCGGGCGCCCUGCCCCCGGGCCCGUUCGCCUUCCCGUUCGUUCCCGUGGCUUCUGGAGUCUUCUAGAUGACGUAAAAUUGCGCGGCACGUUAAUAUCUCUAUGUAAUCCCGACGUGUGGGCCUUUCUUCCGUAUUUCCUGAUAACCCCCUGUAGAAAUAGACAAACACCAAAACUCAUGGAAUUCUGUCAGAUAAAACCCUAAAUCUAGAUGUUGAUUUCAUUUAGAUCAUUUUCUUUGUUUAUUUGAUAAUUAAAUUUGAUAGUUAAGGACCGUCAACAAACUCCCCCAAGCUUACCUCUUGCUCGUCCCUGAGCAAGGAUAGACUCAGCAAUGGAUCAGAAGUUGUUGCAAUAUCUUAAAAAUUUGACGGUACACAUGCUUUUAAAUAAGAUCUCAUCUCUGAGUUUGAGUAAACUGUCAAGAAUUAAAACUUACCUACUUUACCUUUCACCAUGGGACUUGUAACCGUCACUUCUGUCUUGAGUAGUUAAAAGAUAGAGCAGUCUAGGCAAGUGCCAUGUCUCUUAUUCUUGAUCAGCUAUAGCUCUGGAGUUUUUGCAGAUUUUCAAAUAAAACUCAGAGAUUCCUUAUAUGACUCUCUAAAUCUCUCUUUUGUGGUAUUUCUGGAUCCUUACCAAGGCAGUGAUGGUAUAUGCCUUCUCUCAAGAUAUGUGGUAUUUGUGGUAUAAGUCAUAGUGACAUUGCCUUCUCUCUCACCCUACUCUAAUAAGGCUUUAAUAUCUGGAGCUCAUAGAUGGGAGAUAAAGUAUACAUACUUACAAGACAUUUAUUGUAUAGUCAAACCAUGGAUCCAAAGUAACAAAUCAAUAAGCCAAAUCAAGAUGUGCAUGUGUGGCGAAUGAAUGGUGUAUGGUGAUGAUGGUGAUAACAAUGGUGAAAGUCAAAUUCUACUUUUGCUCUUUUGAGGGGAUACAUACCUUCCUUGCUUUUUGAAACUUUAUGAGGAGAAUGAGAUGCUCUUCUUUUUCUUUCCUCUCAGGUGGGUAUCUUGUACCCCUAAUUCUACUGUCGGACACUUGUCCAUUUUUACCUCUCGUCUCACUUUUUCUUUCUUUCCAGGUUCCGGGCACUUGCCCAUUUUUAUUUCCUCGUUUAUUAUUUUUUUCUUUUCUUCUCUUCUCUUUUUUUUCUUUUCAGAGCACUCAUCUCUUGAGAUAAUAUAGCAAGUGGUAGUAGCAAGAUAACUUGAGCAUUUAUUUCACAAGGGAAAACAGAAAUAUUUUUGGCUAUUCUCUCCCGGAUUAGGAGUAGAAUAUUUUUGGGUGGUUUUGGAGAUGGAUAUAUGUGGAUGGUACUUCCAGAGUAGAAGUAGCAUAUAUGAGUGAACGUACAAGUGAAUCUUGAUUUAACCACAUGACAAGCUCCUAAGGGUCUACAUAGCUUGACCACAUUCAAUGCUCAUAAGCAGUAAAUAGUAAAUGUGUGGCUCAAAGUCUAGCAAGCAUGUAUAUAUGGCUGUGGUAGGAAUUUAAACUUUCAUCAUACAGGAACUCAUCAUGCAAUAUUUUAAAGAUUUUUCAAAGAUAAAAUUCUCCAGAAUUCUAGCAUCUCUAGAAACAGAUAAACAGCAGCUCAACCUUCCCAUAUCAUAUCCGCUAACAACUUAGAUUUCAGAUCAAGUUUUCAUCCCACAAGUUUAGAUCUAGAGCAAGCUUUAAAUUAUAACUGUUAUGUCUAAACUUGAGAGAAAACUUCAAAUUUGCAAAUUAGGCAGAGCAACUAUUCAUCAUAUCCAUGCUAGAGUUUUAUUAUUAAGAUUCAGAUUAGCAUAGCCACUUUAUUUAUUUAUUAAACACACUAAGCAAAAGAUAUAUAUAUAAGCACAAAAUUUUUAUUUGGUUUUUCAUAGUUUAUGUAUUUUAAUAUUCUAAUAUAAUAUAAGUAUAAAGAUAGGUAGAAAUACUUAGCGAGAUAAAUGGGGGUGCUCUCCCCCAAGCUGAAUUUUGACGUAAUUUCUCUUGAUGUAGCUAGCAGGUGGCAGAGGUGUAUUUGAAAGUCAGCAGCAUUCUGACAGUGAUUAGAAUGUCCUCCGUCUGCUAGUCUUCUUGAUUCUUAAAUUCUGUGGAGCUCAAAUAGACAACAAAGCUUGUGGAACUAAUUAAGUGUUAGCAUAAAUAUCUAGCCUUCAUCAUGUUGAGCUUCCUCAAUAAAUAUUACUCCCUAUUUUUGUAUUUUUAUUUUAUAAGCAGAAAAAAAAUAUUUAUUUUAUUUUUAUGCCACCACAGUGAAGGUACUUAUGGGUUUUAUGCCACUCGUAUACUCACAUGGGGCUUAGUAUUUUUUAACAUUUCUAUUUUCUUUUCAAGAUAGCAUGAUUAACUAAUAAUCUAUUUAAGGAAAGUAAAUAAUUAAAGGCAAAAGGGAAUGCAGAAAGGAUAAAUAUGGAUAACUACCGAUCUUACCUUUCGGCGAGGGUUCAAUGUUUUAAGUCUUCUUAACAAGACUUCUCACCGUGUUCAUUCUUCAGGUGCGUCAUUUGAUUCAGGUGCGGACCUUGACGUCUGCACCUCUUCGUUUGCCUAGCAGUUCGAAGUGCGGUGUUGGCAGUAUCCUGCUCAGUGUGUUUGUGCUCGUAGAUCCAGGUCCUUUACUUGGUAGAGUCUGAGAGUUAUAGAACUCCUCCGUGUUUUGCUCGAAGUGUACCUGCUCAUAGAGACAAGGCAGAGAUCAUGUGCAUGGGUCCUGUUGGUGGAAAACACCAACAGAACCUAAAGUGUAUUUGUUCUUCUCUAACCCUAAGCAUAGUGAGCAAGACAAAGUUGAUGGAUGAAAAGUUCAUGAGUGUAGCACUUAUAACAUUUGUCAGAUCAGAUCGCUCAACCUUAUGGAAAGAUAAUCUAUCUAUGUAUAUGUCUUUUUUUAUAUCUCUCAAUGAUUGAAUGUGUAACAUUUUAGCUCAUAUGAUUAGGAGUGUGGGAUCAUGGAGGUAGUACUAAGAACAAGGAUUAAAGGACUAAACAUGUUGAAUC
Molecule: long non-coding RNA, 3167 nt
Filed under: Sorghum bicolor (sorghum)
Lineage: Eukaryota; Viridiplantae; Streptophyta; Magnoliopsida; Poales; Poaceae
Description: long non-coding RNA (SBIC_LNC017446)
Source: RNAcentral